UAGGGAAUCUUCGGCAAUGGGGGGAACCCUGACCGAGCAACGCCGCGUGAGUGAAGAAGGUUUUCGGAUCGUAAAGCUCUGUUGUUAAGGAAGAACGAGUGUGAGAAUGGAAAGUUCAUGCUGUGACGGUACUUAACCAGAAAGGGACGGCUAACUACGUGCCAGCAGCCGCGGUAAUACGGAGGUCCCGAGCGUUGUCCGGAUUUAUUGGGCGUAAAGCGAGCGCAGGCGGUUAGAAAAGUCUGAAGUGAAAGGCAGUGGCUCAACCAUUGUAGGCUUUGGAAACUGUUUAACUUGAGUGGAGAAAGGGAGAGUGGAAUUCCAUGUGUAGCGGUGAAAUGCGUAGAUAUAUGGAGGAACACCGGUGGCGAAAGCGGCUCUCUGGUCUGUAACUGACGCUGAGGCUCGAAAGCGUGGGGAGCGAACAGG
Molecule: ribosomal RNA, 429 nt
Filed under: Bacteroidota bacterium
Lineage: Bacteria; Pseudomonadati; Bacteroidota
Description: Bacteroidetes bacterium partial 16S ribosomal RNA
Rfam family: Bacterial small subunit ribosomal RNA
Source: RNAcentral